AGAGUUUGAUCCUGGCUCAGGAUGAACGCUGGCGGCGUGCCUAAUACAUGCAAGUCGAACGGGGUGCAGCAAUGUACCAAGUGGCGAUCGGGUGCGUAACACGUAGCUGACCUACCUCUUGGCGGGGGACAACAGGCCGAAAGGCUUGCUAAUACCGCAUGAUUUCGGGGGUUUUAGAACGCCCCGAAGAAACGCGAAAGCGGCCGAGAGAGGGGGCUGCGGCCCAUCAGGUAGUUGGUGAGGUAACGGCUCACCAAGCCGACGACGGGUAGGGGGCCUGAGAGGGUGACCCCCCACACUGGGACUGACAGACGGCCCAGACUCCUACGGGAGGCAGCAGUAAGGGAUACUGGGCAAUGGGCGAAAGCCUGACCCAGCAACGCCGCGUGGAGGAUGACGGCCUUCGGGUUGUAAACUCCUUUUGUCGGGGACGAGACAAGGACGGUACCCGGCGAAUAAGUCACGGCUAACUACGUGCCAGCAGCCGCGGUAAAACGUAGGUGGCGAGCGUUAUCCGGAUUUACUGGGCGUAAAGCGUGUGCAGGCGGACGGGCAAGUGGUGUAUGAAAGCUCCAGGCUUAACCUGGAGAGGCUAUGCCAGACUGCACGUCUUGAGGCAGAGAGAGGGACAUGGAAUUCCGGGUGUAGUGGUGAAAUGCGUAGAGAUCCGGAGGAACUCCAGAGGCGAAGGCGGUGUCCUGGCUCUGACCUGACGCUCAGACACGAAAGCAUGGGGAGCGAACGGGAUUAGAAACCCCGGUAGUCCAUGCCGUAAACGAUGCAGACUAGGCGUCGGCGGUCUCAACCCCGUCGGUGCCGAAGCUAACGCGAUAAGUCUGCCGCCUGGGGACUACGACCGCAAGGUUAAAACUCAAAGGAAUUGACGGGGGCCCGCACAAGCAGCGGAGCGUGUGGUUUAAUUCGAGCCUACACGAAGAACCUUACCUGGGCUUGACAUACUGGUGGUAGGGAAGUGAAAGCGGACCGACCUUCGGGAGCCAGUACAGGUGCUGCAUGGCUGUCGUCAGCUCGUGCCGUGAGGUGUUAGGUUAAGUCCUGUAACGAGCGCAACCCUCGGGGCCAGUUACACGGUGUCUGGUCCGACUGCCCGCGAUAAGCCGGGAGGAAGGUGGGGAUGACGUCAAGUCAGCAUGGCCUUUAUGCCCAGGGCUGCACACACGCUACAAUGGCCGGUACAAUGGGUCGCCAAGCCGCAAGGCGGAGCCAAUCCAGUGAAAGCCGGUCUCAGUUCGGAUUGUGGGCUGCAACCCGCCCACAUGAAGUCGGAGUUGCUAGUAACCGCCGGUCAGCUAUACGGCGGUGAAUACGUUCCCGGGCCUUGUACACACCGCCCGUCACGUCAUGGGAGCUGGUCACGCCUGAAGCCAGCGGGCUAACCGCAAGGAGGCAGCUGUUUAGGGCAGGGCCGGUGACUGGGACGAAGUCGUAACAAGGUA
RNAcentral lists this ribosomal RNA (1457 nucleotides) under metagenome. RNAcentral describes it as "bacterial SSU rRNA". It matches the Rfam family "Bacterial small subunit ribosomal RNA". The record is from RNAcentral.